GACAGAGGGUGCAAACGUUGUUCGGAAUUACUGGGCGUAAAGCGCGUGUAGGCGGCUCUGUAAGUCGGGUGUGAAAUCCCACGGCUCAACCGUGGAAGUGCACUCGAAACUACAGGGCUAGAGUCCUGGAGAGGAAGGUGGAAUGCUUGGUGUAGAGGUGAAAUUCGUAGAUAUCAAGCGGAACACCGGUGGCGAAGGCGGCCUUCUGGACAGUGACUGACGCUGAGACGCGAAAGCGUGGGGAUCAAACAGG
Molecule: ribosomal RNA, 253 nt
Filed under: uncultured bacterium
Lineage: Bacteria
Description: partial 16S ribosomal RNA
Rfam family: Bacterial small subunit ribosomal RNA
Source: RNAcentral